GCCAGUCACUUUACAACCGUGGAACACAAAUAAUACUUCUCUUGGAGAAGUUUUUCAUUCCCAAGGCCGUCUCCCUGAGACCCGAGAGUUCAGAGGCAUCGCAGGGUGUUGCUGAGUUGUGUUUCUUAAGCCCGCAGAGCCCCACUUCACGUUCACUCGCUCCCAAAGCGCUCCAACGUGCGCUGAUCUCGUACUGACUUCCAGCAUCCUCUGCCCGGACCGCAGCCGCUUUACCACGUCUUACGUUCCCUUCUGAUCAACCCAGUUACACUGGCUCCUGGGACCUGGGCUGGGUUCCCCCCUGCCCCCUGCCCUCGGCAGGACCGCUGAUCGCCUCACGCUCCGUGGAACCCGAAACAAACACAAGACAAACCAGAAACACCUCCCCCGAACGCAGACCAUAUUCCGGCGUUCCCUUGAAGCAGGAAGAUGUGCCUGUUUUCAGGUAGAUUUUAGGAGAGUCCUGGUAAACGGGAGACAUAGCCUUUCCGAAGCAUCAUUUUCCUGUUGCGUAGACGUGCAGGGUGACUCGGGGAUAAAUAUUUCAGCUCUUCGUCAUGGUCACUGUUUUUCUCUCCUGCUUAUCACGAGACAUUCUUUAAAGGCUGAAAUUACAGUCACCUUUGCUGAAAAGCAGGAUUCCCCAGCAGGUGAUAGGCAUCAGAAUGAUCUCCAAAUCGCGGAAAAAGCCGCUCCCAGGAAUGUUUCCAGUUCUUUGGUUACGCCGCCUCCGCUUACCCUCCCUCUGGUAACUGUGUCUCGUUGCCCUGCUGCAGAGCGGCCAUCCUCCCCCAAUCCCAGUUCACGGGAUCUGAGCAAAGCUUAUCAUCCGCCCCUCCUUUUUGUAAAGGCUGAGCACGUGACUGGGACUUCACACGCUCCUUGCCCACAGGGGUUGGCCGUGGGACAUAGGUGCUGCCCAGCCGGAGCCUGUGAUACAGGGAUUCUGUUCUGCUGGAAGUGCGAGCUUGAAGGGGAUGUACCAUCUAGCGUCGCUGGCAGCCAUUUUGUUGCUAUGAGGGAAGAGCCUGCGAAGAGAACCAACAAUAAGACAGAGAGAGAGAGAGAGAGAGAAAUAGGCUUUGUUGAUGUUCUGUAAGGUCCUCAUCCAGUCUUCCCGGCCAGACUUGCCCUUCCAUUUUUCAGUCACGUGAUCCAAUACUCUUUUCUUAGCCAGAUCAAGGUCCUCGUCACUUACCACCAAAGACAUUGCAACUUAUACAAAAGGGAAGGGAACGGAAAACACCUGCUGGGUGGGAAGCCCCUCGGAGGAGCCACCAGCUUCAUCCUGGCUAAUGAUAUUUCCCAGGGCGCCCGGGUGGCUCAGUCGGUUAAGCGUCCGACUUCGGCUCAGGUCGCGAGCUCACAGCUCGUGGGUUCGAGCCCCGCAUCUUGCUCUGUGCUAACAGCUGGGAGCCUGGAGCCUGCUUCGGAUUCUGUGUCUCCCUCUCUCUCUCUGCCCCUCCCCUGCUCCCACUCUGUGUGUGUGUGUGUCUGUCCGUCUCAAAAAUAAAUUUAAAAGAAUGAUAUUUCCA
This 1535-nucleotide long non-coding RNA is filed under the name Felis catus (domestic cat). Its description in RNAcentral is "lncRNA (ENSFCAG00000042710.2)". Lineage: Eukaryota; Metazoa; Chordata; Mammalia; Carnivora; Felidae. The record is from RNAcentral.